This 507-nucleotide ribosomal RNA is filed under the name uncultured bacterium. RNAcentral's name for it is "partial 16S ribosomal RNA". It matches the Rfam family "Bacterial small subunit ribosomal RNA", at positions 29 to 523 of the family's 1533-position model. The record is from RNAcentral.
AUUGAACGCUGGCGGCAGGCCUAACACAUGCAAGUCGAGCGGCAGCGGAAGGAAGCUUGCUUCCUUGCCGGCGAGCGGCGGACGGGGGCGUAAGGUAUGGGGAACUGGCCGAAGGCGGGGGAGAACCCCUGGGAACGGUGGCUAAUACCGCAUAAGCUCUGAGGGGCAAAGUGGGGGACGCUUCAGGCCUCCCACCUUCGGAGGAACCCAUAUGAGACUAGCGAGUAGGUGGGGUAAUGGCUCACCUAGGCGACGAACUCUAGCUUGUCUGAGAGGAUGAUCAGCCACACUGGGACUGAGACACGGCCCAGACUCCUACGGGAGGCAGCAGUGGGGAAUAUUGCACAAUGGGCGCAAGCCUGAUGCAGCCAUGCCGCGUGUAUGAAGAAGGCCUUCGGGUUGUAAAGUACUUUCAGUCGUGAGGAAGGUGUUAAGGUUAAUAACCUUAGCAAUUGACGUUAGCGACGGAAUAAGCACCGGCUAACUCCGUGCCAGCAGCCGCCGUAA